UACGUAGGGGGCUAGCGUUAUCCGGAAUUACUGGGCGUAAAGGGUGCGUAGGUGUUUCUUAAGUCAGAGGUGAAAGGCUACGGCUCAACCGUAGUAAGCCUUUGAAACUGGGGAACUUGAGUGCAGGAGAGGAGAGUGGAAUUCCUAGUGUAGCGGUGAAAUGCGUAGAUAUUAAGAGGAACACCAGUUGCGAAGGCGGCUCUCUGGACUGUAACUGACACUGAGGCACGAAAGCGUGGGGAGCAAACAGG
RNAcentral lists this ribosomal RNA (251 nucleotides) under uncultured bacterium. Its description in RNAcentral is "partial 16S ribosomal RNA". It matches the Rfam family "Bacterial small subunit ribosomal RNA", at positions 524 to 776 of the family's 1533-position model. The record is from RNAcentral.